RNAcentral lists this ribosomal RNA (247 nucleotides) under uncultured bacterium. RNAcentral describes it as "partial 16S ribosomal RNA". It matches the Rfam family "Bacterial small subunit ribosomal RNA", at positions 524 to 765 of the family's 1533-position model. The record is from RNAcentral.
UACGAAGGGUGCUAGCGUUGUUCGGAAUUACUGGGCGUAAAGCGCGCGUAGGCGGCUUUGCAAGUCAGGGGUGAAAUCCCACGGCUCAACCGUGGAAUUGCCUUUGAAACUGCAAAGCUGGAGUGUCGGAGGGGAUGAGCGGAAUUGCUAAUGUAGCGGUGAAAUGACGGUAGAUAUUAGCAGGAACACCGGUGGCGAAGGCGGCUAUCUGGACGACAACUGACGCGUGACUGCGCGAAACGCGGGG